Molecule: ribosomal RNA, 391 nt
Filed under: uncultured eukaryote
Lineage: Eukaryota
Description: partial 18S ribosomal RNA
Rfam family: Eukaryotic small subunit ribosomal RNA
Source: RNAcentral
CAAUAGCGUAUAUUAAAGUUGUUGCAGUUAAAAAGCUCGUAGUUGGAUUUCUGUGAGAGUGCCGGUGUCGGCUGAUGCUUGUACGCAGGCGCUCUUACAUCCUUCUGUUAACUGAUCUUGGCAUUUUAUUGCUGGUUCAGGGCUCAGAUAUUUUACCUUGAGAAAAUUAGAGUGUUUCAGGCAGGCUUAUGCCGGAAUACAUUAGCAUGGAAUAAUGGAACAGGACCUGUGCGUCUUUCGGGGCGCCGGUCUCCGUUAUUGGUUUCGGGGACUAAAGUAAUGAUUAAUAGGGAUAGUUGGGGGCAUUAGUAUUUAAUAGUCAGAGGUGAAAUUCUCGGAUUUGUUAAAGACUAACUUAUGCGAAAGCAUUCGCCAAGGAUGUUUUCAUUAA